RNAcentral lists this ribosomal RNA (253 nucleotides) under uncultured bacterium. Its description in RNAcentral is "partial 16S ribosomal RNA". It matches the Rfam family "Bacterial small subunit ribosomal RNA", at positions 524 to 776 of the family's 1533-position model. The record is from RNAcentral.
CACGUAGGAGGCGAGCGUUGUCCGGAAUCAUUGGGCGUAAAGAGCGCGCAGGCGGCUUGGCAAGUCGGGUGUGAAAUCCCGGGGCUCAACCCCGUGACUGCAUUCGAUACUGUCAGGCUAGAGGUAGGUAGGGGAGAUCGGAAUUCCUGGUGUAGCGGUGAAAUGCGCAGAUAUCAGGAGGAACACCAGCGGCGAAGGCGGCGCUCUGGGCCGGAACUGACGCUGAGGAGCGAAAGCGUGGGUAGCAAACAGG